GACAGAGGGUGCAAACGUUGUUCGGAAUUACUGGGCGUAAAGCGCGUGUAGGCGGCUCGGCAAGUCGGAUGUGAAAGCCCUGGGCUUAACCUAGGAAGUGCAUUCGAAACUGCCAAGCUUGAGUUCUGGAGAGGAAGGCGGAAUUCUCGGUGUAGAGGUGAAAUUCGUAGAUAUCGAGAGGAACACCGGUGGCGAAGGCGGGUCUCUGGGCCGAUACUGACGCUGAGGAGCGAAAGCGUGGGGAGCGAACAGG
Molecule: ribosomal RNA, 253 nt
Filed under: uncultured bacterium
Lineage: Bacteria
Description: partial 16S ribosomal RNA
Rfam family: Bacterial small subunit ribosomal RNA
Source: RNAcentral